RNAcentral lists this ribosomal RNA (253 nucleotides) under uncultured bacterium. RNAcentral's name for it is "partial 16S ribosomal RNA". It matches the Rfam family "Bacterial small subunit ribosomal RNA", at positions 524 to 776 of the family's 1533-position model. The record is from RNAcentral.
GACGGAGGGUGCAAGCGUUGUUCGGAUUGACUGGGCGUAAAGGGCGUGUAGGCGGUCGGCCAAGUCUGAUGUGAAAGCCCGAGGCUCAGCCUCGGAAGUGCGUCGGAAACUAGUCGGCUGGAGCGCGAUAGAGGAGGGUGGAAUUCCUGGUGUAGCGGUGAAAUGCGUAGAUAUCGGAAGGAACACCAGUGGCGAAGGCGUUCGCCUGGCCUGAGACUGACGCUGAAGCGCGAGAGCGUGGGUAGCAAACAGG